RNAcentral lists this non-coding RNA (214 nucleotides) under Nicotiana tabacum (common tobacco). RNAcentral's name for it is "Bacterial small subunit ribosomal RNA". It matches the Rfam family "Bacterial small subunit ribosomal RNA", at positions 950 to 1166 of the family's 1533-position model. The record is from Rfam by way of RNAcentral. Lineage: Eukaryota; Viridiplantae; Streptophyta; Magnoliopsida; Solanales; Solanaceae.
UUCGAUGCAACGCGCAAAACCUUACCAGCCAUUGACAUAUGAACACAAAAACCUGUCCUUAACAGGAUGGUAUUGACUUUCAUACAAGUGUUGCAUGGCUAUCAUCAGCUCGUGUCGUGAGAUGUUUGGUAAAGUCCUAUAACGAGGGAAACCCUCGUUUUGUGUUGCUGAGACAUGNUUUAGCUCAAAUAUGCCCUUACCGUCACAUAGUUGG